RNAcentral lists this ribosomal RNA (497 nucleotides) under uncultured bacterium. Its description in RNAcentral is "partial 16S ribosomal RNA". It matches the Rfam family "Bacterial small subunit ribosomal RNA", at positions 28 to 507 of the family's 1533-position model. The record is from RNAcentral.
GAUGAACGCUGGCGGCGUGCCUAAUACAUGCAAGUCGAGCGAACAGACGAGGAGCUUGCUCCUCUGACGUUAGCGGCGGACGGGUGGGUAACACGUGGAUAACCUACCUAUAAGACUGGGAUAACUUCGGGAAACCGGAGCUAAUACCGGAUAAUAUAUUGAACCGCAGGGUUCAAUAGUGAAAGACGGUUUUGCUGUCACUUAUAGAUGGAUCCGCGCCGCAUUAGCUAGUUGGUAAGGUAACGGCUUACCAAGGCAACGAUGCGUAGCCGACCUGAGAGGGUGUUCGGCCCCACUGGAACUGAGACACGGUCCAGACUCCUACGGGAGGCCGCCGUAGGGAAUCUUCCGCAAUGGGCGAAAGCCUGACGGAGCAACGCCGCGUGAGUGAUGAAGGUCUUCGGAUCGUAAAACUCUGUUAUUAGGGAAGAACAAAUGUGUAAGUAACUAUGCACGUCUUGACGGUACCUAAUCAGAAAGCCCCGGCUAACUACGUG